GGUGACACACAGCUAAGCCACAGCAACGUCAAGAUCUAAAGGAAGCCUAAAGGGAAUGGAUAAAGUGACUGCUGUACAUGAUCAUGAGAGAUGCUGAGCUCUACGAGAGAGUUUCUUUGCACAGACUUCGUGUAAGGACUACCAGGAGCUAAGGGACAUUGAGACAGAUUUCACUUGUGGACUGGGCCUAAACCUGGCGUCCCGUGGAAGCUCUGGUUAAUGAAGAACAGGUCAAAGAGAAGCCUAAGAAAAGAAGAACCUUAGCUUUGGAGGGUGGCUGAAAAAUAUCAAUAAAUAAGCAACCUCAAAAGAAUUAGGGUUCUUCUGGUGCCUGUAGCAUCACUCCACUUGGAAAAGGCAGCCCAGAACCCCAUCUCAAAUCUCUAUGGGCAUCUCUAUGAGUUGAAACACCAAGUUGCCUUCAGUAUACUUUAUGGCUUGUUCUUUUUUGUGUCUGUGGUGUCUAGCACAAUUCUUACUCACAUUAAAGCACGACAAACA
Molecule: long non-coding RNA, 501 nt
Filed under: Mus pahari (shrew mouse)
Lineage: Eukaryota; Metazoa; Chordata; Mammalia; Rodentia; Muridae
Description: lncRNA (MGP_PahariEiJ_G0004768.1)
Source: RNAcentral